Molecule: ribosomal RNA, 504 nt
Filed under: uncultured bacterium
Lineage: Bacteria
Description: partial 16S ribosomal RNA
Rfam family: Bacterial small subunit ribosomal RNA
Source: RNAcentral
AUUGAACGCUGGCGGCAGGCUUAACACAUGCAAGUCGAGCGGAGUGAUGGUGCUUGCACUAUCACUUAGCGGCGGACGGGUGAGUAAUGCUUAGGAAUCUGCCUAUUAGUGGGGGACAACAUCUCGAAAGGGAUGCUAAUACCGCAUACGUCCUACGGGAGAAAGCAGGGGAUCACUUGUGACCUUGCGCUAAUAGAUGAGCCUAAGUCGGAUUAGCUAGUUGGUGGGGUAAAGGCCUACCAAGGCGACGAUCUGUAGCGGGUCUGAGAGGAUGAUCCGCCACAAUGGGACUGAGACACGGCCCAGACUCCUACGGGAGGCAGCAGUGGGGAAUAUUGGACAAUGGGGGGAACCCUGAUCCAGCCAUGCCGCGUGUGUGAAGAAGGCCUUAUGGUUGUAAAGCACUUUAAGCGAGGAGGAGGCUCUUUUGGUUAAUACCCAAGAUGAGUGGACGUUACUCGCAGAAUAAGCACCGGCUAACUCUGUGCCAGCCGCCGCCCGUAA